UUAUGGUUUAGGUUGCCAAUGAUCUAUUAGGGAAGCAGAUCAAUGCACUUAAACAACAUAUCAAUAACCUUCUUUGCCCAUUAACACCCUUUACCAACCUUAUAGAGAAGGCAUAGUUUCGUCUAUGGCUACCCAUUCAGUCUCUAUGAAGGUCUACUGACUGUUGUUUCUCACUGUCUUUGGCUCAACAUCCCUGGCUAUGAUGCUCCUACUCAGCUUGCGAAGCCUCUUGAGAAGGACACUAGGCAAGCGGAUACUAUUCUCAUCACUCCUAAAGGAACUUAUGAAGCCUCUUGAGAAGAACACUAAGUAUAUUUUUUAGACUUAAUUUUGAUAAACACUUAAUUAAGUGUUUAUAUCAUAAGUGCGUUAAGAAAAAAGAUUUUAUAUAUUCUCUAGAUAUGACUUCGCUAUGAUAUGUAAUAGUGAUAUAUUCAUUCUUUUGCUAUAUUAAUUAUAAUAUAUAAUUUAUCUAUUAA
Molecule: long non-coding RNA, 479 nt
Organism: Lathyrus oleraceus (garden pea)
Lineage: Eukaryota; Viridiplantae; Streptophyta; Magnoliopsida; Fabales; Fabaceae
Exons: 2
Source: RefSeq, a predicted model, not a curated record